CAGGAACUCCAAAGUUAUUUUUUUAAAAGAAAGAAAAGCAAAAAUCCAAUGCCCCCAAAUAUCACCUAUAUAAAAACAGAAGUACUCUCUGAUUGAUUAAAAGAGAAUAUUCUAGAUAGAUGCUGCUUAUAAAAGCCACACACACCUGAAAUUUUGACUGUUGGUUUACCAAAGUGAUUUUAAUGUGAAACAAGCCAAGAGACAGAAAUAAAGGGCACAAAUUCCUCUACUGUAAGUAAAGGAUAUGUGAAAUCAAUGGAAUAAAGAUGCUGCAUAGAAAAGACACAGCAUCACUCUAUUAAUGGGACAAUUAUUUCUGACUUUCAGGACUACACAACAGCAUUCAGCUGCCUAUGAUACCAUCUAAUUGGGGUGAGGAUCCCAUCCCAUCCUUUGCAAAGUUGCCUUUCAUGGGGUUGGUUUGAUUUCCUGCCUAGCCCAUACCAGCUCUUCUGAUAAAGUCCUCAAAUAUUCCUGAAUGUUCACUUUGAAUGAAGUUACAUCUGAAAUCAAUUUUCCAGGCAUAUUAUCAUCCUAGAAGACUAGGAUUUCAGAUCUGCUUGGGGAAAUUCUGCAAACAUAAUUGUGCAGAGAAGUUGAGAGUAAAGGGUUAACAGUAAAGAGAUGAAAAAAGAUGUACCAUGGUAAAGCAAUCAAAAUAAAAUGGUAGUGAAAGUAUUAAUUUCAGAAAAGUAUAUUUCAGAUCAAAAUAUUAGCAGGCCUAAAGAAAGUAAUUUUAUAAUGAUAAAUGAGGAAAUGUAUCAAGAGGAUAUAGCAAUUUAAAUGUUUAUGCACCUCAUAACAGACUUCAGAUACAUGAAGCAAAACUGAAAAAACAGCAGGAAAAAUAAAUUCACAAUUACAGUUAGAGAUUUCAAUGUAUUCCCCUUUCAAUUCUUUAUAGAACAAGUAGGCAGAAAAUUAGAAAGGAUAUAGUUGACCUGGGUAACACUAUCAAGCAACAUGACCUAAUCCACAAUUAUAGACUACGUGAAUAUAUAUUCUUUGGUCAUGGAACAUUCACCAAGAUACACCAUAUUCUGGACCAUAAACAAGUCUCAAUAAAUUCAAAAGCAUUCAAGUCAUACAAAGUAUGUUCUCUGAUCACAUGCUAUUAAAUUAGAAAUCAAUAACUGAACGAUCCCUAGAAAAUCCCCAAGUAUUUGGGAAGUAAGUCACAUACCUCUAAUUUUAUUAUGAUCUUGAUGGGCAGAGAGGACCUCAGCUGUAAUCCAGGUCACAGUGUACACUGGGAAACUGGCAUAAAAGAAAGAAAGACUAUAAAAGCUUGGUUUUCCAGCAUAGAAAAAAUAUAGAUAACAAUUACACAAAAGUUUGGGGGUGAGGCAGAGAAGUCCUUUGGGGCUAAUAAUCAGUGUAUUGGCAGAGAUCUGGUAUGGAUCCAACCUCUUCAUCCACAGUUUCCCAAUCAUCUUAUUCCUCAAGGGUAGAGACUCUUGGAGAUGCCAGUAGCUUUGCAAACUCAGUAAUGGGUCUACAUGGGGCCAAUUAUUCUCACUUCUUCACCUGCCUGAUUAGCCCUCAUCAGUGAACCCAACAUCCUCCCAGCUGACAGCUGAUGGGCCACCCAGGGAAAAAGAUGGCUCUGCGAUGUCUCUCUUCAGCACGGGAUCAGUUGUGAGUGCCUCUCAGGGAGGGGGCUGCCUCACUCCCCUCACCACGUGAGAGGUUAAAAUCAGUAGCAGGCUCUGAUCCCCAGAUUCAAUCUAUGGAUCCAAUGAGCCUGGUUUUGUCUUAACUGUUUUUCUAGUGAAACUUUGCUCUGAUCACCAGAGCAGCACUCUGCCACCAAGUCACUUGCCUUAUUGGAAUCAUGGUUUGCUUAAGAACAUCUCAAGCAACCUCAAAGGAGGAAAUUCACUGGUGUUUGAUUAUCAUCAGGUAAUACUCAGAUUUCUGGGAAGUGUUAACUACUGAUAUAUAAUCUGUAAGGAAGGGAAUGUCCAAGACAGCAAUCCUACCCAUAGGCUGAUUUGCCAAGACAUGGAGAAUUCUAGUAACUUAGAAAAGGAUAUUUGUGGCUCAGGAGGAAGAUCUGUUUGCUCCUGAAGGUACCCGAUGGUUUAGUGUUUUUCAAAGUACUCAGAGACCAGCAAUUUCAGAUUCACUAGAUAUGGGGUCUGGCUGUAGACUUACUAGACCACAUUUUCUCAGGUUGGGACCUGGAAUCUGCACAUGCAACAAGCUUCUCCAGUGAACCUUCAGCAGGGCACCUUAAUGUUUAAGAACCAUUGUUUGGGAUCACUCUUGCUCAGAGAUACUGGCUGCUCUCUUUGGUUGUAGCUGUACUUCAUUGUACUCCCACUCUGCUAUCCUAAGGAGGAGAGCAAAGAGGCAGGCAAAAACAAGCCACUUGACUACUCAUUCCUCAUCUACAGGCCCCAGGCACCUGCUCUCACUCCUAGACUCUCCACAAGCUGUUUUCUUAUGAUAGGACUACUCAAGUUUUCUUCCUAGUUUUCAUUCACAGGUACAGACUGCAGCCAACAGAUCUAGUGGUUACUCCAGCAUCCUUUGAAAGACUGUCAGAGAUGUUGGUUUUUCCAUAAUCCCUUGCUUCACUAACGCUCUAUAGUUUGAAUAGUUUUGAGUUUAGUGCAGACCGGAAAAGUGAGACGAAAGGGGAGGAGAAGAGACAGAGAGAAUGGAUUUAAAGCAAGUAAUGAACCUGGAGGCUUUGCUCAAAUACCCAUUGUGUUAUCCAUCACCCUACCCUAUACCAUCCCAUGUCCGCACCUGAGUGUUGGCCCUAUUCCUACUCUUCUCUGUUUUUGUCCAUUCUUCUAAUUAGAGAGAUCCUUAAAGACCUUUUACCCACGCUGAAAUGGUCUAUUGAAAGAAGAUGUGAAGCUGGAUCUAAAGAAGUUCUACUUUACUUCUACCAUUCCCGAACUUCCUUGAAGUUCCUGUAAAUUAUUGCAUCCUGGGAUUUGUACAGUCAAUUCUUAAAAGUUCUUAUAAUUUGCCUUGAAGCUGAGUUUGCUUUUGACACCAAUAGGGCCAAUGAUAUUUGCAACCCAAAUCUAGGGCUAUCCACAUUCUUGCACUGAUGGGAUUUGUUAUAAACUAGCAGCUGUUGGGUUAAGAAUGGCUGACUGUUACAUCUCAGUGUUACCAAAUAAAUCACUUAUGCUCUAUGUGCUCUAAAAGAAGUUACCAAUGCUCUGUGUUCAGAUUUGCUCUCUCAUAUUUUAAGUGUCUCACCUUCAUUAGGGCAGAUUACCUCUUUGAGCAUUUAGUGCUUUCUUCUUGUCAUUAUUCACAGUGUUCUAUCAACAGCCACAGCACAUUCACUACCUACUUGACAGCUAAAUUUAGUUAUCCAUAUGUCCAGAGUCUUUUAUCUGACAGUUUGCUGAUUCUGGAAACUGCCAGUAGGAUAAACCAGAAUCUUUGCCUGUUUGAUACAGCUCUUUCCUCUCUGGAAUCCUCCCAACACUUUUCACAGCUAUGUUAUUCAUUUACUCUCCUGAGGGCAGGAGAAGGGGGCUCAAUUUCGUCCUUUUCUAUCUCACCCCAAUCACAUCUGCUGGUUUCAAAGUCUUCACAACAUAGAGUUCCCGCCGUGGCUCAGCAGACUGACAUCAUUGAGGAUGCAGGUUCGAUCCCUGGCCUCACUCAGUGGGUUAGGGAUCUGGCAUUGCUGUGGUCUGUGGUGCACGUCUCAGAUCCCAUGUUGCUGUGGCUGUGGUGUAGGCCAUCAGCUACAGCUCCAAUUUUAUCCCUAGCCUGGGAAUCUCUAUAUACUGCAGG
Molecule: long non-coding RNA, 3774 nt
Filed under: Sus scrofa (pig)
Lineage: Eukaryota; Metazoa; Chordata; Mammalia; Artiodactyla; Suidae
Description: lncRNA (ENSSSCG00000061800.1)
Source: RNAcentral